RNAcentral lists this long non-coding RNA (360 nucleotides) under Vigna radiata. Its description in RNAcentral is "long non-coding RNA (VRAD_LNC017725)". The record is from RNAcentral. Lineage: Eukaryota; Viridiplantae; Streptophyta; Magnoliopsida; Fabales; Fabaceae.
AUAGAUUAAAUUAAUUUAAUUUUUUUUAAAAUAUAAUUUUAUAUUUGUAAUUAAGAGACAUAAAUAUAUUUAAUUUAAUUUAAUUUAAUACAUUAUUUAUGUGACUGUGCACAAUGUUGCAUGUUUUAAAAAAGGUANAUCUGAAGAACAAUGUAGUUUUUAUAUGCUAACCUGAUGAUUGUGUAAUGUUUUUNCUGUGAAAGACAAAAUCAUUUAUCUGAUUAGGAGCAGCCAUUGAUGUUUGAUGCAUGUAUAUGUUGGAUUUCUUCUUACUUGAUAGCAAAAUCACAUAAGAUUAUAUAAUAGAAAAUAUAAUUUGUGAAUAAAAUCUUUCUGCCAACAACUGAUUGUAUAAACUAA